AAUGAAGUGCCUGAUGAAAAGGGUUACCUUGAUAGGGUAAAUUAUGCACUAUAGUGCUUUCAUUA
Molecule: transfer RNA, 65 nt
Filed under: Cucujoidea sp. 45 KM-2017
Lineage: Eukaryota; Metazoa; Arthropoda; Insecta; Coleoptera
Description: tRNA-Ile
Source: RNAcentral